RNAcentral lists this ribosomal RNA (253 nucleotides) under uncultured bacterium. RNAcentral's name for it is "partial 16S ribosomal RNA". It matches the Rfam family "Bacterial small subunit ribosomal RNA", at positions 524 to 776 of the family's 1533-position model. The record is from RNAcentral.
GACGAACCGAGCGAACGUUGUUCGGAAUCACUGGGCUUAAAGGGCGCGUAGGCGGGUGCUCAAGUCCGUGGUGAAAUCCUCCGGCUCAACCGGAGAACUGCCUCGGAUACUGGGUGCCUCGAGGGUGGUAGGGGUAUGCGGAACUAUCGGUGGAGCGGUGAAAUGCGUUGAUAUCGAUAGGAACACCUGCGGCGAAGGCGGGUUGCUGGGCUGACACUGACGCUGAAGCGCGAAAGCUAGGGGAGCGAACGGG